UACGUAGGCAGCGAGCGUUGUUCGGAGUUACUGGGCGUAAAGGGGGUGUAGGCGGUUGUUUAAGUUUGGUGUGAAAUCUCCCGGCUCAACUGGGAGGGUGCGCCGAAUACUGAAUGACUCGAGUGUGGGAGAGGUGAGUGGAAUUCCUGGUGUAGCGGUGAAAUGCGUAGAUAUCAGGAGGAACACCGGUGGUGUAGACGGCUCACUGGACCAUAACUGACGCUGAGACACGAAAGCGUGGGGAGCGAACAGG
This 253-nucleotide ribosomal RNA is filed under the name uncultured bacterium. RNAcentral describes it as "partial 16S ribosomal RNA". It matches the Rfam family "Bacterial small subunit ribosomal RNA", at positions 524 to 776 of the family's 1533-position model. The record is from RNAcentral.